This 500-nucleotide ribosomal RNA is filed under the name uncultured Oscillospiraceae bacterium. RNAcentral's name for it is "bacterial SSU rRNA". It matches the Rfam family "Bacterial small subunit ribosomal RNA", at positions 8 to 507 of the family's 1533-position model. Lineage: Bacteria; Bacillati; Bacillota; Clostridia; Eubacteriales; Oscillospiraceae. The record is from RNAcentral.
AGAGUUUGAGUCCUGGCGUCAGGAUGAACGCUGGCGGCGUGCUUAACACAUGCAAGUCAACGGGGUGCCUUGAAAGAGGAUUGUCCAAUUGAUAAGGUUACCUAGUGGUGGACGGGUAAGUAACGCGUGAGUAACCUGCCCUGGAUGGGGAAUAACAGCUGGAAACAGCUGCUAAUACCGCAUAAUGCAGUUGGGUCGCAUGGCUCUGACUGCCAAAGAUUUAUCGCUCUGGGAUGGACUCGCGUCUGAUUAGCUAGUUGUGGGGUAACGGCCCACCAAGGCGACGAUCAGUAGCCGGACUGAGAGGUUGGCCGGCCACAUUGGGACUGAGACACGGCCCAGACUCCUACGGGAGGCAGCAGCGGGGAAUAUUGGGCAAUGGGCGCAAGCCUGACCCAGCAACGCCGCGUGAAGGAAGAAGGCUUUCGGGUUGUAAACUUCUUUUGUCAGGGACGAAGCAAGUGACGGUACCUGACGAAUAAGCCACGGCUAACUACGUG